GAUGAACGCUGGCGGCGUGCCUAAUACAUGCAAGUCGAGCGAACAGACGAGGAGCUUGCUCCUCUGACGUUAGCGGCUGACGGGUGAGUAACACGUGGAUAACCUACCUAUAAGACUGGGAUAACUUCGGGAAACCGGAGCUAAUACCGGAUAAUAUAUUGAACCGCAUGGUUCAAUAGUGAAAGACGGUUUUGCUGUCACUAAUAGAUGGAUCCGCGCCGCAUUAGCUAGUUGGUAAGGUAACGGCUUACCAAGGCUACGAUGCGUAGCCGACCUGAGAGGGUGAUCGGCCACACUGGAACUGAGACACGGUCCAGACUCCUACGGGAGGCAGCAGUAGGGAAUCUUCCGCAAUGGGCGAAAGCCUGACGGAGCAACGCCGCGUGAGUGAUGAAGGUCUUCGGAUCGUAAAACUCUGUUAUUAGGGAAGAACAAAUGUGUAAGUAACUAUGCACGUCUUGACGGUACCUAAUCAGAAAGCCACGGCUAACUACGUG
This 497-nucleotide ribosomal RNA is filed under the name uncultured bacterium. Its description in RNAcentral is "partial 16S ribosomal RNA". It matches the Rfam family "Bacterial small subunit ribosomal RNA", at positions 28 to 507 of the family's 1533-position model. The record is from RNAcentral.